UGGAAAAGACCAGAGUUAAAACCUCUGGAGAUUUGUUAAAGAGCAGUGAAAAAGGGGAACGGCUGGGGUACUUUUCCUGUUCAGAAGCUGUUCCCAAACGAAACCAAGAGCUGUAGCUGUGUGCUUGGCUGCGCGCUGCUCCCUGCACUGUAGUCAUUGUGUCAAUCUGCAGAACAUCAUUGGAAAUCUAUUAUGUAUAUUAAAUAAGUUCCAUGUAUUCGUAAUCAUCGCUUUUCCUCUGGGAACCACAGUACCGGCUCCAAGUCUAAAUUAGCAUCAUAACUAAUAUCUGUGCAGAAAGUUGUCAGAUUUAUAAAAUGUCUCAGAUUGAAACAUGAAUAGACUAUCUGAGCAGUCAUUUAGUGUCUGGUGAGUCUCUAUUUAUAUCACCAGAGCUACAUCAAUACAGCGACAAAUCUCCCAUUUUUACUUUUCUUACAUUGCCAAUCAAAUUCUCCAGCUCUCGUGUUCAAAACAUAACAGUGAGGCAAAAAUAUCACAGAGGGAGACGUGAUCCCAGAAUCACAAAUUGUUUCAUGGUGAGGCUGAGGGAAUAGAUCUUAUUAUUAACUGUUGGAAGGUCAUAUUAGUGCAAUUAUCAAAAGAAUAUUUGCAGUGCCAAAUCCUUAUUAAACUGUGUGUACUUCGUUUUCUUCCCCUUAAUCACAGUUUUCUAUUUUUGUGGCAGAUGUUUUUGCUUCGGGGGCCGGGAUAUCUGUAGGACUUUCAUGCAUAAGGCUGCUAUAAUUUUUCAUGCUAAAUAUGGUGUCAUCGUUACAACAAAACUUACAGGAGGAGGCAAGCUCUCAGAAAGGUGCUCGUUCUCAGCUCCAUAACACACAAGCGAUAUCUCAGAGUCCCUCAGCCACCUUUGAAAGUGAUUUAAUAAAAAGAGGUUGCAAAAGCAGAAUUAGGGUAACUGAGAGCUGUAAUUUCACUUUCUCACCUUCCAGUCUGAAGGUGUUGACACAUAUUCUGUUAGCAGACAGCUGCAGCAGCUUAAAGUGUUAGCACCGUCCUACUGUUUAUUAUCACUCCUUGCUAAAGAGUAUCAUCCCCGCAGGAGAGCAGGUGCAGGCAUCUCUGGGAGCACCUGAGCCACUUGGGUGCAAAGUCUGCUGGUUCGUUUCAGUGGCAGAGGUGGGCAGAGCUGGGCCUGCACUGCAGUCAUUCUCUUGUGCUAGUUCUGGGGUGCAGCCUGCCGUGACAUGCCAGAACUGAGAUGCUUGCACAGGCAGCUGGCUCACCUAUAGCCCUGCCUUAGAGAAAAACACAAGUGGAGAGAAACAGAAGCUAAAAUUUCUGCAUUAAGAUUCCUGCAUUUCAGCCAUGAUACAGGCAUGUUUUCCAUCCAGCACUGGCACAUUAUUUGUUGUGGAUAUUAUUG
This is a long non-coding RNA of Numida meleagris (helmeted guineafowl), 1387 nucleotides long. RefSeq lists it as uncharacterized. The record is from RefSeq and is a predicted model, not a curated record. The transcript is spliced from 3 exons. NCBI's taxonomy places the organism in Eukaryota, Metazoa, Chordata, Aves, Galliformes, Numididae.